AUUGAACGCUGGCGGCAUGCUUUACACAUGCAAGUCGAACGGCAGCGCGGGCUUCGGCCUGGCGGCGAGUGGCGAACGGGUGAGUAAUGCAUCGGAACGUGCCCAGUAGUGGGGGAUAGCCCGGCGAAAGCCGGAUUAAUACCGCAUACGACCUGAGGGUGAAAGCGGGGGACCGAAAGGCCUCGCGCUAUUGGAGCGGCCGGUGUCGGAUUAGCUAGUUGGUGGGGUAAAGGCUUACCAAGGCGACGAUCCGUAGCUGGUCUGAGAGGACGACCAGCCACACGGGGACUGGGCCACGGCCCGGCCUCCUAGGGGGGGCGGCGGGGGGGAAUUUUGGAAAAGGGGGGCAACCCUGAUCCGGCCAUGCCGGGGGGGGGAAGAAGGCCUGCGGGUUGAAACCCGCUUUUGUUGGGGAAAAAAUCCUCUGGGCUAAAACCCCGGGGGGAUGACGGUACCGGAAAAAUAAGCACCGGCUAACUACGG
This 483-nucleotide ribosomal RNA is filed under the name uncultured bacterium. RNAcentral's name for it is "partial 16S ribosomal RNA". It matches the Rfam family "Bacterial small subunit ribosomal RNA", at positions 28 to 506 of the family's 1533-position model. The record is from RNAcentral.